RNAcentral lists this unclassified non-coding RNA (261 nucleotides) under uncultured fungus. RNAcentral describes it as "sequence contains ITS2". The record is from RNAcentral. Lineage: Eukaryota; Fungi.
AACGCACAUUGCGCCCGUUAGCAUUCUAGCGGGCAUGCCUGUUCGAGCGUCAUUUCAACCCUCAGCUACCCCUCUUCUGGGCGUGCUGGUGUUGGGGCUUCCUGCGGCUAUCGCAGGCCCUGAAAAUUAGUGGCGGGCUCCGCUAUACUCCGAGCGCAGUAGUAAAUCUCGCUUAGGGUGUAUAGUGGGGAUAUCUAGCCUCCUUUAUACCUAUAUUUAAUGGUUGACCUCGGAUCAGGUAGGAAUACCCGCUGAACUUAA